UUUUUUUUGCGGGUGUGAUGACAGAGUGUAGACUUUGUCUCAUUCAGGUGACCUAUUUUAUGGUUUUCCUGGGCUGUGGGUUGGUUGUUUUGUGGUUUUUUUUCCAAGAAGUUGACACUAACCUAGUUCCUCUGAAUUAUUUUUUUUUUUUAAAUUUUGAAAUAUGUUUGUAAUGCUAAAGAUAAGGCCUGAAGAUAAGCCACCAUAAAAAAGUAACAAGGGAAGCCUUAGUGAUAAUAUUCCAGAUGGAGGGAAGUCAUUCACAAUAAACGCCGCUCCAUGCAUUUAUUAGUCAACUUCAGUAAACUUUAGAAACUUUACCUCUAACAGCAUCCUUUCACUUUCAACAUUGUUUUCCCUUUAGUCUUCAUGUAUUAUUUUAGAAAGAGAAAAAAGGGCUUCAGGAAAAAAAGUGGAGAAAGCUAUGUAACUAAAUCUGUUAUUUUUAAUAUCAAAAUCCUGAGUCAUUUGGUCCCUCCACAACUUUGCAGAAUGCAGGUAAGGUGUGCUCAUCAGCACAGGGGCAGAGACCUCAGUCUCUAUGCACUGGGAGUACCUAACAGUAGUCACUGUGACUGAGUGUGAAUAUUCACUCUCCUAAAACUUAAGAAACUGUACACAUGUUGGCAGAAGCAUGCCAUCUAAGGCAGCACAAGCAGAUGCAUCCUGGAAUCCACAUGCUACAGGAAUAUAUCCCUUUUUCUUCUACCAUUCUAUUUCUGUUAAAGAGAAAAUUCCGUUUCAGAGUUUACCGCAGUGGUAAUUGCCACAGCGCUUAAUUCACCCAAAUGCAACAUUUAUGUAACAGGUACAGUACUAUUUAAAUACUCUCUGAAAUGAAAACUACUCAGACUAGAACAGCUUAGUAUUGUAAUUAAACAAAAAAAAAAAAAAAAAAAAAAGAAAAAAAAGUCCAGAGAGAGGUGGUCUUGGAUAUUUUUCUUCAGGUGAGAAGGAAAACACCAUUCUAGAACAAAACAGCCUGCAAACAUUUCUAGUUCUUAACAUGUGGAAGAGCUUCUUCCAGGAAUUUAUUGUUUUCCAGUCUGCAACUAUUUUGUUUGGAGAAGUGGAAAUAGCAUACAGCAAACAGUUCAGACAAAGGAAGGAAAGCUAUAAGAACUCUGAUAAAGAAACCUGAUUUUCUACAGUAAGAAACAGUACCAGGAGUCAGGCUUUGCAUGUCUAGAAUACUUAUUUAUACAAACCAUUUUCCCUCAUUGUUUUUUUCAGACUGACUGUACGUAAUAAUCCUACAGUUUCUUUGAUGCCUAAAGUGGUAUGUGCUCUUUACUUCUGCAUGGAAAACAUUUUCAUCCAGAGCUGUGAACAACCUCAUUAAAAGUGUCCAGUGGCAUCUGUGAGAGAGGAACUACAGGACUGUGAGACAGUCAUUUUAUGUAUCUUUUUAGUCCCAUUAAUGCAUAAAUUUUAUUUGACACUGGUAAUAAUGGAGUUAAAAUGCCUUUUUCAGCUGUGCUUAUGUCACACUAGAAGAGUUCAAAGAUGAACUUCUGAAGGUGACUUUUCAACAGCAAAUUUGUUGUGUUUGGCAUUUCCACAAAGGAUUCAUCAGGGUUAUAUUAUAACUUGGACAAUGUUAUCAAUAUUUCCAGGGGGAAAAUAUAUAUAUAUUUAAGUGAAAGAAGACUAAAAUAUCUUAAUGUGUAGAUUGUGAAUUUCAAAGCAAUAAAGAAUGGUAGUAAGCAGUUUUUACUUUUAGCUCUGAUUCAGCAAUUGUUAAUAUAUUUCCAAAUACGUCUGCACUCAGUGAGCUGGGGGACGGUUAUGCAAAGAUAAUUUAUCCUAAUGGAGUUUUACCUUUCCAUAAAAUUAAAAAAUAUAUAUAUUUCUCAUGAAGAGAAGAAUAUGCAGAAUAUAUCAAUAGUGAGAAAUCUAUAAAGGUAAUGUAUUUUUGUUUCAGCAAUAACUGAUACGAACUUAUCCUGGGUGAUCUGUGAAGUUUAUUUCAUGUUUUGUAAACCCCACAUAUGCCAGAAAAAAAGCACCUUCUCAUGCUUCAUUGUUCCAGCUUCCUCUGCAGCUUGUUUCACCUUAUUUGGCUAUAAGAGUUACUGGAACCAAUAGUGAACUGCGUGGUAGAAUUUCAGUUUAUACUAAAAGAAUUAAUUUGUUUGCAAUUAUUGCAUUUUGUUUAAUUCAGCUGCAGGUUAGUAACACUAAGCUUUUCAGAGGAAAAAAUAAUUUUGCUUUUUAAAUAACUGAAAUAAGGAGCAUAAGUAAUAAAUUACAUCUGACAUCAGUAGGACUUUAGAAAGCCUAUUGUAAGGGUUGCGUAAUUAUUUACUGGCAAAUAAGGUUUCAGAAAAAAAUGUAACUCAGUCCCCUGUGAGGAUGUUAGGCCCUUUCUGACUGGUUCGAUGAAAUACAUUCCUCGGACUGACUUCUCGUAAUGUUGGAAACAAGUCUGUCAGAAGAAAAUGUGAUCUCUCCAUGUGGACCAUAUUCCCAUGCUUGACAACAUUUAGUGUGUUUGUCCUCACAUCAGACUUAUGCCUAAUGUUAACUCCAGUGACACAGUAAGUGGCUCACCUGAGAUAACCCAGGAAAAGUGUUACACUCGACUGUUCUUUUCUAGCUUUUUCUGCCCUGUGCCAGGUUCAUUUUGAUUCCCGAGGAUAAAGCUGAGUAGAUAAAAAAGGCUACUCAGGGUGCACUGAAAAAGGCACUGAAAGAGGCAUUCCCUGCUGACCCGUUUUAUUGCUCUUCUUUCUUGUAGGCAAGAGCAAGCCAUGCUCUUUGUACUGACAGCAUGUUUGGACUUGGCUUGGGAAGAAUUUGAGUUGCCCCUCUAAUACACAGCACAGGUUGCAAGGUGAGCAUCUGAGACUGCAGACAGCUGUGUGAACAUGGUGAUUUUGAUGUAAGCAAAUGUUUGAGCAUUUUUACACACUGCAUUAGGUUGGAAAUUAGAUUCCAAGUAUGAAUGAUGUGAAAAACUGCUGUUGUGCAACAGGUUCGUGAUCCUCUAGGACUUCUGCAAGGGAUUUGAUUGUUUGUAGAUCUCUAGGACUUGAUGAUUAUAGGUCUCCUGAAUAUGUAUCUAGUGUAAUAUAUCAACUAGGAAAACUACUAGAUUUUUAAGCUGAAGCUUCUUACAGAGGUCUUUUCUAGGCUUUACAGAUAAAUACUGUGCUGCUUUACCGUAAAAGUGAUGUGCUCAUUUGAACUGUCCUGGGAUAUUCAAACUGGAAAUAAAAUUCAGUUACA
Strigops habroptila (Kakapo) is the source of this 3231-nucleotide long non-coding RNA. Lineage: Eukaryota; Metazoa; Chordata; Aves; Psittaciformes; Psittacidae. The record is from Ensembl.